ACCUGGAGGCGAGGUGCUCCCUGUGCCUGCACAGCUCAUCUGGGACAGCACUGCCGUGCUCCGGGGCAGUCUUCUCCCCCGCCCCCCAUCCCCUGGGGCUGCGAACGGGGCGCUCCGCGGGCAGCCUAGCCCGGUUCUCUCUGUGGGUUUCGGUGUUUGAGUUGUUUCCAUCAGGGCAUGGAGAGAAGCUCAGAUACAAGAAGGUAAAUGAAAUAAACGGAAGCCUCCUUCAUUGCAGCAGCAAUCCUACUGCUGCAUUCCGUGGGCAUGUAGGCGGAAGGACAGCCACCCAGGGAAGCUGCACUCUCUCCCCUCCGCUGCCGCGCGAGAAGCGUCUUUCCUGCAUGUGGCCCCUGCCACCACCACCCUUUUAACAGAUGGCUCUCCAGAGAGGCCAGGGGACUCAUUCCAGACAGGCGAGUACCCAGAGCAGUGUCUGACAGUCACCCUGCCUAGUGAUUCCAGAGAAAACAAGCUGAGGACUAAUUAGAAGGAUAAACUGUGCCUCUCCGUGGCUGCCUUCGUGAUGGGCCUGCUCCCAGCUUUUUGUGUAUGUUCAUGCAUCCUGUGCUGUGUCAACACUUCAUGUGACUAGGCAGCAUAGCAAGAUGUACUGGAAUCAUACCAUUUGUGUGCUUCAGAGAUUGUGCUGCUUUUCUAACAGUGCAGCUGGUGGAGAGAGUCCAACGUUAACCUUUAGAAACUCAGUAUACUGCAUUACUUGUAUUGAACAGCAGAGAAGAUGGAAUUUCGUUAAGUGUUGCAGUCUUGUAUGGGGAAUGUGAAUAGAAAUUACAGGAUAGAGGAUGUAUGGGGCAAAUUCUGCACUGAUUUACACCCUCUGCAGCAGUGGGCUUGGUCAAAGUACACACCUGGCCACUGGUACCUGCUUCCUCUCAAGAUUUAUCUGUAUGAUCAUGCCAUUUAAUAAUGGGAUGAGGCCUUAAAAACUGAAGUCCUGCCUACGCUGCAUGGACAUUUGAAAUCCCAUAGCACUUUCUGUAAGAGUAGAUGCAUUUCUGAAGAAGAGAGAGGGAAGGCUGAGGGUCAGCAGUACAGAUGGUGAAUGCAGAAGCAUUAAAUACUGGAUGAUCAAAUCUUUUUCAUGUGUAACUUAUUUACAUAAGUCUCCUUAUGUAAUUUAUAAGUAAUUCCCACAUUUAACUGAAAGUGGGUUUAUUUUUUAAGCACUCAUGUAAUUAGGCUCUUUUGCCACUUGAUAGCACCAGAAUGUUAUUUUCCUACUUAUUCAGGCAACACACACACACUGCUCCAAUCUCAUACAGGAAGAUUUCUUUAAAUGAGGGAUUUUUUAAAUCAAAUUAAACUUUAAAAUGAACCCAAUCA
Long non-coding RNA from Gopherus flavomarginatus (Mexican gopher tortoise), 1347 nucleotides. RefSeq lists it as uncharacterized. Lineage: Eukaryota; Metazoa; Chordata; Testudines; Testudinidae. The transcript is spliced from 2 exons. The record is from RefSeq and is a predicted model, not a curated record.